This 476-nucleotide ribosomal RNA is filed under the name uncultured organism. RNAcentral describes it as "partial 16S ribosomal RNA". It matches the Rfam family "Bacterial small subunit ribosomal RNA", at positions 334 to 801 of the family's 1533-position model. The record is from RNAcentral.
CACUCCUGCGGGAGGCAGCAGUGGGGAAUUUUGGACAAUGGGCGAAAGCCUGAUCCAGCAAUGCCGCGUGAGUGAAGAAGGCCUUCGGGUUGUAAAGCUCUUUUGUCAGGGAAGAAACGGUGAAAGCUAAUAUCUUUUGCUAAUGACGGUACCUGAAGAAUAAGCACCGGCUAACUACGUGCCAGCAGCCGCGGUAAUACGUAGGGUGCAAGCGUUAAUCGGAAUUACUGGGCGUAAAGCGUGCGCAGGCGGUUUUGUAAGUCUGAUGUGAAAUCCCCGGGCUCAACCUGGGAAUUGCAUUGGAGACUGCAAGGCUAGAAUCUGGCAGAGGGGAGUAGAAUUCCACGUGUAGCAGUGAAAUGCGUAGAUAUGUGGAGGAACACCGAUGGCGAAGGCAGCCCCCUGGGUCAAGAUUGACGCUCAUGCACGAAAGCGUGGGGAGCAAACAGGAUUAGAUACCCCAGUAGUCCCAUGAU